This 210-nucleotide ribosomal RNA is filed under the name uncultured bacterium. RNAcentral describes it as "partial 16S ribosomal RNA". It matches the Rfam family "Bacterial small subunit ribosomal RNA", at positions 568 to 774 of the family's 1533-position model. The record is from RNAcentral.
UGCGUAGGUGGUGAGGUAAGUCGGAUGUGAAAUCUCCGGGCUCAACCCGGAAAUGGCAUUGGAAACUACCUUGCUGGAGGAUUUGAGGGGGGGAGUUGGAAUACUUGGUGUAGCAGUGAAAUGCGUAGAUAUCAAGUGGAACACCAGUGGCGAAGGCGAAUCCCUGGAAAAUAACCUGACACUGAGGCACGAAAGCUAGGGGAGCAAACA